RNAcentral lists this long non-coding RNA (1091 nucleotides) under Toxoplasma gondii VEG. Lineage: Eukaryota; Apicomplexa; Conoidasida; Eucoccidiorida; Sarcocystidae. The record is from RNAcentral.
GGCAAUUUUUCCUGAAAAUGCCUUUAGCAUCUGCACUUUACUCUCGAGUUUUUAGCGGAAUCUGUUUCGUUUUUUGCGACGUUUCUGUCCAGAAGGGAGACAGCUCAACAAGUUCCUUUCAGCGGCUAGCCGCGUUUCUUCUGGGUCCUCUUUGAGAAAAGUAGUCGCCUGUCUCCGGCUUUUCAGCUCCCGAUUUACUGCUUAUCCCAGCCUCGCUAUCUUCCUCGAUUGCCUUGUCAAGCCUUCUUUUCAGCUGCAUUAGUUCGCCGUGCUACUCGCGAAACGCUGCGUCGUUUUCGUUAGGGUCUUGAGCAAGUCUUGCAGAGACUGAGGAACCUCGAGAGUCCGGUGUUGGGGCUUUCAGUGCGUCGAUGUCUCGAGUCUCACCGCCUUCGCGUCGGAGAGCAUUCGUCUCGCAUUUUCGUUUUCUCGUCGUGACUGUAACUUAGCACAUUUUUCGCCUCAAAUCCCCGCUGUGCCUCCGACGAGCUUCACAGUGUGGCGGGUUUAUGUGUACAAGCGAGACCUCUUCCAGCUGCCGAGACAUCUCAGGCCUCCCCUUUUCUCGGACCCGGAGUGUCCUGUGUGCUCUGGCCGUGGUUGAGUAGGUCGAGGAAUCAGUAGGACUUUUCUGCGAGUCUCCUCGUUCUCCUCAUUCGUUUUCUACGUUCCUCAUCCCUCUCCGUCUGCACCAUGAGAUUCCUUUCCCUCUCUGGGGUCGAUGAGCUUGUGUCUCUUCAUAGUGUUCGCUUCUUUUCAGGAGCUGUGGAUCUCUGCCGGAGAGUGGGGUGGACGACUGAGAACGCCCAGACUCUUUAAGUCUCGCCAGACUCCUCGUCUUCACCCUUCCCUUUUUCCCUGAAGUGGACUCCGAUUCGAGAUGCAGAGUUCGACCUCUCCCUUCCGGGGAGAACAUGAGUGUUUCCGAUAUUUCUGCUCCUUCUCCACUCUCCAAUCCGCCACCGAGUCUGACGUCUGAGCUCCCGUGACUCUGGCGUUCGUCCUGCCCGCUCUGCACUUGGAGGUCGCCGGCUGUGAGAGGAAUCUUUGCGCAAGAAGAUCUCGAGGCGAGUCCACCGGUCCGGCGUCCG